Molecule: long non-coding RNA, 268 nt
Organism: Bos taurus (domestic cattle)
Lineage: Eukaryota; Metazoa; Chordata; Mammalia; Artiodactyla; Bovidae
Source: Ensembl
AGCUCUGUGUUCUGUUCUCAGUCAUGGCUCAGCACCCAACCCAGAGGCCUGAGCUCCUUCAGACACCUUCAGCUGUGCACUCUUUCAUGGAACCAAUAGUCAUGGAAGAUGAUUUUUCUGUCUAGUUCAACACUUAGUUUCCUGCUGAAGACCAAGGCGUGGAAGCAAAUUUACUGAGCCAAGCUUGUCAAGUGGAAUUCCUCGUUGGAUUUCUCUGUAUACAUGAGCUCCAACAUUCUUAAUCUACUCAACUGACAGAGACUUAAAA